GCGUUAAUGGCGGCCAACAUCGCCGGUGCUGCGGCUUUCUCCCUAAAGUGUCACAGGAGCUAAGGGCGCUGCUUAACGAACUGCAGAAGACGCAGGCAGGUGAAGGACACCGGUUCUGCUGCGGCAGUGGAAUGUGGCGGAGAAGCUGGCGGGUAGGGCGGGGAGCAAGCCUGGAGGUCCUGGCGGACCCCACCAUUCGACAGGGCUUGGUGUGUUAUUGCUUCUAGGCCUUUUCAGCGGACAGAACUGGGAUGGAUACACACAUGCUUAUUUGAAAUCAUGCGUUUGUUCCAUACUCCAAUGUCAGCCCACCCCUUCUUUGCCCAAGUUGCUCUAUGGUCAAGUGAGCGAGAGCAGGUGCCUGCAUUUCCAGCCUCGUGGCUCACCGCCUCCUUCCAGUAGUCCCAUGUUGCUUCACACCUCUUAAGUACAUGUACUUCUGUGAACCCAGAGCCUUGGCUUUGAAAUCAGACAACCCCAGUUUCAAACGUGGCGCUGCCACUCACGAGUUUUGUGAUUUUGGCAUACCCCUGUCUGCAUGGGGAUAAUAACUUCUAUCUCCAUAGGUGUGGUGAGGAUAAAAGUCUAUGCAUGGAGGAAAUGUUCAUUCAGUGGUAGCUAUUUCUAAUUCUGUUCUUCUGGACCUAUGAUUCUAUCUACGAUGCCUCAUUUUUUUUCCUUUUUAAUCAAUUGGCAAACUUGUGCUCUGAGACCCAGCUUGUUACAUCUCUGAUGACAGCUGAUAUCCUCAGGAUAUUCCGUACUUCCUUUCUCCCUAUUACUUUACUAUGAAUAUAUGAAUAACAUUGUGCUUAUUGCAUGCAACAAAUAUUUAUUAGAUGAAUGACAUUAAAAUUCACCUUUAAAAUGCCAUCCUUUAUGAGAGGUGAGAAAUAGAACUUUUCCUUCGACAUGGCUGUACAUGUUCAACAACUAGAAUAAAACAGUCAUCAUGAACCCUCAAUCCAGUAUUCUUUUUAUAAUAUAGCUGCCUGUCAGUUUUCACUGUUCUUUUAUUAGACCAGUGAUUUUCAAACCUUUUUAAAGGCAUACAGUGCUUUAUUCAAAUCUAAUCUUAUAUGGAACCCUCAACACAUAAAUAUUAAGAUAAAAAUAAAGCUGCCAUUGUUGCAAUUAGAAGUUUGAGAGGUUAGAAUAGGUAGGAAGUCUCGGAGGAACAUUUCUUCGUUUUACCUGCUUUAACAGUCAGAGAAGUACCUCAGCCAGCAGAAAAAUUUAUUUGUUCAUAAAUUCCUUGAGUAUAGAGUCCGUAUCUUAUUUUUGUGGCCUCCAAUGCUAGUGCUGUGCAGUUUUCUUGAAAGUGCAUUUUAUUGGUCUCAGCAAAUUGAACUCAAGCAUUUCUGUGUUCUUUUACUUUUCCUCUUUGUGGAAUUAAGGGGAUUGCUAAUUUGUAUUUUUAAAGAAAGAACAUUAUUCCGGGCGCGGUGGCUCACGCCUGUAAUCCCAGCACUUGGGGAGGCCAAGGAGGGCAAAUCACCUGAGAUCAGGAGUUCAAGACAAGGCUGACCAACAUGGCAAAACCCCGUCUCUACUAAAAAUACAAAAAUUAGCUGGGCGUGUUGGCACGCGCCUGUAAUCCCAGCCACUCAGGAAGCUGAGGCAGGAGAAUCGCUUGAACCCGGGAAGCAGAGGUUGCAGUGACAGAGAUCGUGCCACUGCACUCCA
This 1686-nucleotide long non-coding RNA is filed under the name Homo sapiens (human). Its description in RNAcentral is "non-protein coding lnc-RAB1A-11:9". The record is from RNAcentral. Lineage: Eukaryota; Metazoa; Chordata; Mammalia; Primates; Hominidae.